RNAcentral lists this ribosomal RNA (319 nucleotides) under uncultured soil bacterium. RNAcentral describes it as "bacterial SSU rRNA". It matches the Rfam family "Bacterial small subunit ribosomal RNA", at positions 26 to 337 of the family's 1533-position model. The record is from RNAcentral.
AGAGUGAACGCUGGCGGUAGGCCUAACACAUGCAAGUCGAACGGCAGGCACAGUAAGAGCUUGCUCUUAUGGGUGGCGAGUGGCGGACGGGUGAGGAAUACAUCGGAAUCUACCUUUUCGUGGGGGAUAACGUAGGGAAACUUACGCUAAAUACCGCAUAAGACCUUCGGGUGAAAGCCGGGGACCUUCGGGCCUGGCGCGGAUAGAUGAGCCGAUGUCGGAUUAGCUUGUUGGCGGGUAAAAGCCCACCAAGGCGACGAUCCGUAGCUGGUCUGAGAGGAUGAUCAGCCACACUGGAACUGACGACGCGGUCCAGACU